RNAcentral lists this ribosomal RNA (46 nucleotides) under Acer pentaphyllum. RNAcentral's name for it is "partial 18S ribosomal RNA". It matches the Rfam family "Eukaryotic small subunit ribosomal RNA", at positions 1782 to 1827 of the family's 1831-position model. RNAcentral also lists the same sequence under 2 other names. The record is from RNAcentral. Lineage: Eukaryota; Viridiplantae; Streptophyta; Magnoliopsida; Sapindales; Sapindaceae.
GGAGAAGUCGUAACAAGGUUUCCGUAGGUGAACCUGCGGAAGGAUC